Molecule: ribosomal RNA, 253 nt
Filed under: uncultured bacterium
Lineage: Bacteria
Description: partial 16S ribosomal RNA
Rfam family: Bacterial small subunit ribosomal RNA
Source: RNAcentral
UACGAGUUGUGCGAACGUUAUUCGGAAUCACUGGGCUUAAAGGGUGCGUAGGCGGACUUGCAGGUCAGGUGUGAAAUCCCACGGCUCAACCGUGGAAUUGCGCUUGAAACCACUCGUCUUGAGGGGAUCAGAGGAGAGCGGAACUGAUGGUGGAGCGGUGAAAUGCGUUGAUAUUAUCAGGAACACCGGUGGCGAAAGCGGCUCUCUGGGAUCUUUCUGACGCUGAGGCACGAAAGCUAGGGGAGCGAACGGG